Molecule: ribosomal RNA, 503 nt
Filed under: uncultured bacterium
Lineage: Bacteria
Description: partial 16S ribosomal RNA
Rfam family: Bacterial small subunit ribosomal RNA
Source: RNAcentral
AUUGAACGCUGGCGGCAGGCUUAACACAUGCAAGUCGAGCGGGGUGAUGGUGCUUGCACUAUCACUUAGCGGCGGACGGGUGCGUACUGCUUAGGACUCUGCCUAUUAGUGGGGGACAACAUCUCGGAAGGGAUGCUAAUACCGCAUACGUCCUACGGGAGAAAGCAGGGGAUCACUUGUGACCUUGCGCUAAUCGAUGAGCCUAAGUCGGAUUAGCUAGUUGGUGGGGUAAAGGCCUACCAAGGCGACGAUCUGUAGCGGGUCUGAGAGGAUGAGCCGCCACACUGGGACUGGGACACGGCCCAGACUCCUACGGGAGGCAGCAGUGGGGAAUAUUGGACAAUGGGGGGAACCCUGAUCCAGCCAUGCCGCGUUUGUGAAGAAGGCCUUAUGGUUGUAAAGCACUUUAAGCGAGGAGGAGGCUCUUUUAGUUAAUACCCAAGAUGAGUGGACGUUACUCGCAGAAUAAGCACCGGCUAACUCUGUGCCAGCCGCCGCGGUAA